AGAUUGAACGCUGGCGGCAUGCCUAACACAUGCAAGUCGAACGGGAGUAGCAAUACUCUAGUGGCGGACGGGUGAGGAAUACGUAGGAAUUUGCCCUUAAGUGGGGGAUAACCCGGGGAAACCCGGAUUAAUACCGCAUGACCUCGAAAGAGCAAAGUGGGGGAUCGCAAGACCUCACGCUUUUGGAGAAGCCUACGUCGGAUUAGCUAGUUGGUGAGGUAAUGGCUCACCAAGGCGACGAUCCGUAACUGGUCUGAGAGGAUGAUCAGUCACACCGGAACUGAGACACGGGUCCGGACUCCGUACGGGAGGCAGCAGGUGGGGAAUAGUUGGACGAAGUGGGCGCAAGCCUGAUCCAGCAAGUGCCGCGUGUGUAGAAGACGGUCCGUUCGGGUUGUAAGCUACGUUUAAGGUAGGUAAACGAAAAAC
RNAcentral lists this ribosomal RNA (429 nucleotides) under uncultured soil bacterium. RNAcentral describes it as "bacterial SSU rRNA". It matches the Rfam family "Bacterial small subunit ribosomal RNA", at positions 26 to 457 of the family's 1533-position model. The record is from RNAcentral.